RNAcentral lists this ribosomal RNA (678 nucleotides) under uncultured Achromobacter sp. RNAcentral's name for it is "bacterial SSU rRNA". It matches the Rfam family "Bacterial small subunit ribosomal RNA", at positions 62 to 732 of the family's 1533-position model. The record is from RNAcentral. Lineage: Bacteria; Pseudomonadati; Pseudomonadota; Betaproteobacteria; Burkholderiales; Alcaligenaceae.
CCGCGAACGGACAGCACGGACUUCGGUCUGGUGGCGAGUGGCGAACGGGUGAGUAAUGUAUCGGAACGUGCCUAGUAGCGGGGGAUAACUACGCGAAAGCGUAGCUAAUACCGCAUACGCCCUACGGGGGAAAGCAGGGGAUCGCAAGACCUUGCACUAUUAGAGCGGCCGAUAUCGGAUUAGCUAGUUGGUGGGGUAACGGCUCACCAAGGCGACGAUCCGUAGCUGGUUUGAGAGGACGACCAGCCACACUGGGACUGAGACACGGCCCAGACUCCUACGGGAGGCAGCAGUGGGGAAUUUUGGACAAUGGGGGAAACCCUGAUCCAGCCAUCCCGCGUGUGCGAUGAAGGCCUUCGGGUUGUAAAGCACUUUUGGCAGGAAAGAAACGUCAUGGGUUAAUACCCCGUGAAACUGACGGUACCUGCAGAAUAAGCACCGGCUAACUACGUGCCAGCAGCCGCGGUAAUACGUAGGGUGCAAGCGUUAAUCGGAAUUACUGGGCGUAAAGCGUGCGCAGGCGGUUCGGAAAGAAAGAUGUGAAAUCCCAGAGCCUAACUUUGGAACUGCAUUUUUAACUACCGGGCUAGAGUGUGUCAGAGGGAGGUGGAAUUCCGCGUGUAGCAGUGAAAUGCGUAGAUAUGCGGAGGAACACCGAUGGCGAAGGCAGCCUCCUGG